RNAcentral lists this unclassified non-coding RNA (821 nucleotides) under uncultured Stereum. RNAcentral describes it as "sequence contains ITS1, 5.8S rRNA gene and ITS2". The stretch from base 300 to 453 matches the Rfam family "5.8S ribosomal RNA". The record is from RNAcentral. Lineage: Eukaryota; Fungi; Basidiomycota; Agaricomycetes; Russulales; Stereaceae.
AAGUCGUAACAAGGUUUCCGUAGGUGAACCUGCGGAAGGAUCAUUAUUGAAUGAACUUGGUCGGGCUGAUGCUGGUCUCUCCUUGGAGGGGCAUGUGCACGCCUGGCACCAUCUUCUUUUACCACCUGUGCACCUUUUGUAGACUGUGGGGACUACCUUUCCGAGGUCAAACUCGGUUGAAAGGAUUGCUGAUGCCAGCUUUCCUUUGCCUGUCUUCUUGUCUAUGCCUUUUUUUUUUUAUCACAAAUGUAUGACAAUGAAUGUUAUGUUGGGCAUUAUUGCCUUUAAAAACCUAAUACAACUUUCAACAACGGAUCUCUUGGCUCUCGCAUCGAUGAAGAACGCAGCGAAAUGCGAUAAGUAAUGUGAAUUGCAGAAUUCAGUGAAUCAUCGAAUCUUUGAACGCACCUUGCGCUCCUUGGUAUCCCGAGGAGCAUGCCUGUUUGAGUAUCAUGAAAUUCUCAACCUUGCUUUUGCAUCUGUGAAAUCAAGGUUGGAUUGUGGGGGACUUUUUUGCAGGCUUCAAAUCGAAGUCUGCUCUCCUGAAAUAUAUUAGCAGAGUUGCAUGAACAGCUUUUUAUUGGUGUGAUAAUCAUCUAUGCCAUGGGCUGUGAAAGCGAGUUUGCCUUCCAAUUUUAACAUCCGUUAUUCAUGACUUUUUGAUCUCAAAUCAGGUAGGACUACCCGCUGAACUUAAGCAUAUCAAUAAGCGGAGGAAAAGAAACUAACAAGGAUUCCCCUAGUAACUGCGAGUGAAGCGGGAAGAGCUCAAAUUUAAAAUCUGGCAAUCCUUGUGGUUGUCCGAGUUGUAAUCUAGAGAA